AUACAGAGGGUGCGAGCGUUAAUCGGAAUUACUGGGCGUAAAGCGCGCGUAGGCGGCUACUUAAGUCAGAUGUGAAAUCCCCGGGCUCAACCUGGGAACUGCAUCUGAUACUGGUAAGCUAGAGUUUUGGAGAGGGAAGUAGAAUUUCAGGUGUAGCGGUGAAAUGCAUAGAGAUCUGAAGGAAUACCAGUGGCGAAGGCGACUUCCUGGCCAAAAACUGACGCUGAGGUGCGAAAGCGUGGGUAGCAAACGGGAUUAGAAACCCCAGUAGUCC
This 274-nucleotide ribosomal RNA is filed under the name uncultured bacterium. RNAcentral describes it as "partial 16S ribosomal RNA". It matches the Rfam family "Bacterial small subunit ribosomal RNA", at positions 523 to 796 of the family's 1533-position model. The record is from RNAcentral.